AUUUUAUCUAAUUAGCAAAAUAUUGCUAAUAUUUAGACAUUAUAUACAUUGUUUGUACUAAAAAAUAUUUUUCAAUAUUGUGACAAGCAAUAAAAAUAUUAUUUAAUUAUGAUUAAUUUAAAUGACUACAUAUCUGAGAUGUCAAAAUGCCCCUUAAUGUAAGGGCAAGUUAAUAGGAACAAAUUCCCUCUCCUAUCCAUAUGAUGAUCUUCUGAUCAUGGAACUUCCAUGUUCUGAUCAAGCAAUAUCUGUGACAUUAGCUCCUGUUGAAAGACUGUAUAGAAUUGUUGUCAAAGUGUUCAGACAAGAGAGAUUCAGACUAAAUGACAAAACAUUAAAAUACCUAGUGAUUAUCAAUUGCAACGC
This 366-nucleotide long non-coding RNA is filed under the name Mytilus galloprovincialis (Mediterranean mussel). The record is from RNAcentral. Lineage: Eukaryota; Metazoa; Mollusca; Bivalvia; Mytilida; Mytilidae.